Long non-coding RNA from Hydra vulgaris (swiftwater hydra), 1091 nucleotides. RefSeq lists it as uncharacterized. The record is from RefSeq and is a predicted model, not a curated record. Lineage: Eukaryota; Metazoa; Cnidaria; Hydrozoa; Anthoathecata; Hydridae.
UCAUCUUUAAUAAUAAGAUCCAUACUAAAAUGUAUAAUAAGCUUUAUACUAAUAUCCAACUUAACUAAUAGCUAAGUUUUAUAAGUUUUGUCAUUCAAAGCAUGUACAAUCUUAGCAUUUCCAUUACAUUAGAUAGUAAUUUUAAACAUUUUGUAAAAACCAUUGUUAAAAGUGGUCAAGGAAAUUCAUCUGAUUUUCAUGUCAUUGAACUUUAUAUAAAUAGUUGGCUACGAACCCUGUUGGAGAAACACUGUUUUAAUAUGAAUUUUUUUGUUUUACAGUGCAAUUUGUAUCUUAAACAUUAACGAAAUUUGUUUUGUGUCAGUGCCAGAAAUUAAAUGUUAACCUGCAAAUUUCAUAAUUCAUAAAAAUAUUAUAAAUCCAUUAGCAAGUAUAUAUUUUUAUCAUUAAAAAUUUGCCCCUCUGUCUUUAAUUUUUUCUGUUUUAUUAGUGAUUGUUGUAUUUACUUUCAUAAAUUCUAAUUAUAGUAUGUAAUUAGUUGUAUAGUUUGAUAAUAAUAUAAAUAACUUUAUUGUUUCAAGAUAAAGUUGUAUCCUUGAAAGAUAAGCUGAUUUUAUUGGCAUAAUGAGCAAGCAUUGAAGUGCAACUUGGUAAACUACAAAACACAUCAAAUUCAGUUAUAAAAAUUUGAGUAACAAAUGUAUGCUAAUUAUUGUAUUGCCUGAACGAGUGUUAUUGCCGUUAAAAGAAGUGAAGAAUUCAAGUACUUUGGAAAAAAAAGACAAGAAAAUACUUAAGUAAAUGGUCAAUUGUUUGGCACAAAUUGGAGUUAAAGACGAAGGAGAUAGUAUAUAUUUUCAGAAACUGUGAAGUCAAAUAAGCAUAGCUUUUGCAGACAUGUGAUAGAGAUAGCGGAAGAAAAAAUGAUAAUUGUGGGCACCAAAUAUCAUAAGCUAAACACGAUUCAAUAACAAGUAGCUCAACCAAUAUCGAAACUACUUUAUAAAUUUUAUAGUGAAUUUUUUUAUUUAAAACUCAAAAUGUCAGUUUUGGGUUUAAGUUUGGUGUUUGCAAUAUGUAUAUAUAACAGAACAAUUAUGUUAAAUAAAUAAAUUUUUAUACUUGUAUCA